RNAcentral lists this ribosomal RNA (1481 nucleotides) under Enterobacter asburiae. Its description in RNAcentral is "partial 23S ribosomal RNA". It matches the Rfam family "Bacterial large subunit ribosomal RNA", at positions 1 to 1528 of the family's 2925-position model. Lineage: Bacteria; Pseudomonadati; Pseudomonadota; Gammaproteobacteria; Enterobacterales; Enterobacteriaceae. The record is from RNAcentral.
GGUUAAGCGACUAAGCGUACACGGUGGAUGCCCUGGCAGUCAGAGGCGAUGAAGGACGUGCUAAUCUGCGAAAAGCGCCGGCGAGGUGAUAUGAACCUUUGACCCGGCGAUGUCCGAAUGGGGAAACCCAGUGCAAUUCGUUGCACUAUCGUUAACUGAAUACAUAGGUUAACGAGGCGAACCGGGGGAACUGAAACAUCUAAGUACCCCGAGGAAAAGAAAUCAACCGAGAUUCCCCCAGUAGCGGCGAGCGAACGGGGAGCAGCCCAGAGUCUGAAUCAGCUUGUGUGUUAGUGGAACGGUCUGGAAAGUCCGGCGAUACAGGGUGACAGCCCCGUACACGAAAGCACACAGGCUGUGAACUCGAAGAGUAGGGCGGGACACGUGGUAUCCUGUCUGAAUAUGGGGGGACCAUCCUCCAAGGCUAAAUACUCCUGACUGACCGAUAGUGAACCAGUACCGUGAGGGAAAGGCGAAAAGAACCCCGGCGAGGGGAGUGAAAAAGAACCUGAAACCGUGUACGUACAAGCAGUGGGAGCACCUUCGUGGUGUGACUGCGUACCUUUUGUAUAAUGGGUCAGCGACUUAUAUUCUGUAGCAAGGUUAACCGUAUAGGGGAGCCGAAGGGAAACCGAGUCUUAACUGGGCGUUAAGUUGCAGGGUAUAGACCCGAAACCCGGUGAUCUAGCCAUGGGCAGGUUGAAGGUUGGGUAACACUAACUGGAGGACCGAACCGACUAAUGUUGAAAAAUUAGCGGAUGACUUGUGGCUGGGGGUGAAAGGCCAAUCAAACCGGGAGAUAGCUGGUUCUCCCCGAAAGCUAUUUAGGUAGCGCCUCGUGAACUCAUCUUCGGGGGUAGAGCACUGUUUCGGCUAGGGGGCCAUCCCGGCUUACCAACCCGAUGCAAACUACGAAUACCGAAGAAUGUUAUCACGGGAGACACACGGCGGGUGCUAACGUCCGUCGUGAAGAGGGAAACAACCCAGACCGCCAGCUAAGGUCCCAAAGUCAUGGUUAAGUGGGAAACGAUGUGGGAAGGCACAGACAGCCAGGAUGUUGGCUUAGAAGCAGCCAUCAUUUAAAGAAAGCGUAAUAGCUCACUGGUCGAGUCGGCCUGCGCGGAAGAUGUAACGGGGCUAAACCAUGCACCGAAGCUGCGGCAGCGACGCUUAGGCGUUGUUGGGUAGGGGAGCGUUCUGUAAGCCGUUGAAGGUGUGCUGUGAGGCAUGCUGGAGGUAUCAGAAGUGCGAAUGCUGACAUAAGUAACGAUAAAGCGGGUGAAAAGCCCGCUCGCCGGAAGACCAAGGGUUCCUGUCCAACGUUAAUCGGGGCAGGGUGAGUCGACCCCUAAGGCGAGGCCGAAAGGCGUAGUCGAUGGGAAACAGGUUAAUAUUCCUGUACUUGGUGUUACUGCGAAGGGGGGACGGAGAAGGCUAUGUUAGCCGGGCGACGGUUGUCCCGGUUUAAGCAUGUAGGCGGA